CCUACGGGUGGCAGCAGUGGGGAAUUUUGGACAAUGGGCGAAAGCCUGAUCCAGCUAUGCCGCGUGAGUGAAGAAGGCCUUCGGGUUGUAAAGCUCUUUCGGUUGGGAAGAAGUUUAUCUGUUUAAGAGAUGGAUAGAUUGACGGUACCGACAGAAGAAGCACCGGCUAACUACGUGCCAGCAGCCGCGGUAAUACGUAGGGUGCGAGCGUUAAUCGGAAUUACUGGGCGUAAAGGGUGCGCAGGCGGCUACAUAAGUCAGAUGUGAAAUCCCCGGGCUUAACCUGGGAACUGCGUUUGAAACUAUGUGGCUAGAGUACAGCAGAGGGGGGUGGAACUCCAUGUGUAGCAGUGAAAUGCGUAGAUAUAUGGAAGAACAUCGAUGGCGAAGGCAGCCCCCUGGGUUGAUACUGACGCUCAUGCACGAAAGCGUGGGGAGCAAACAGGAUUAGAUACCCCAGUAGUC
RNAcentral lists this ribosomal RNA (465 nucleotides) under uncultured bacterium. RNAcentral describes it as "partial 16S ribosomal RNA". It matches the Rfam family "Bacterial small subunit ribosomal RNA", at positions 338 to 795 of the family's 1533-position model. The record is from RNAcentral.